RNAcentral lists this small nucleolar RNA (105 nucleotides) under Caenorhabditis remanei. RNAcentral's name for it is "Small nucleolar RNA sn2524". It matches the Rfam family "Small nucleolar RNA sn2524". The record is from Rfam by way of RNAcentral. Lineage: Eukaryota; Metazoa; Nematoda; Chromadorea; Rhabditida; Rhabditidae.
UAUGCAGAAACUCACUUGAAUGUAGAAUUUACGCCAUCUUCCUUGUCUUUUUUCAUUUUCAUCAAAAAUGCAUCUACAAAAUCGUCACCUUCCUCGCUGAUAACA